UUGAAAUAGAGAGUAUUUUUCUUUAGUACAAAAAUAGAGAGUUUGAACUAUAAUAUGCGUAAUUAAAUGUAUGAGAUAUAAAUAUUAUGAAAAUUGAAAUUUAAGAGGGAAAGAAAGAGGAGAGUUGUUUCCGAACACACCCACUACUUUGGUUGGUUUGAACGGAAAUCAUUUUGCCGAACAGAAUCGAAGUGGGCUCUUGAAGCAUACGACUCCCGAUAAUUACACGCACAGGCAUUGUUCUAAUCGUUCAUUUGAAUGAGGAGGAAAAACAGAAUGAGAUUUUGGAUGAGAUAUGUACAACAUUGGUUGGAAUGCAUAAAACUGGCGUUGUGGUGGAUGAGCUUGUAGCAGGUAGUGCUUGAUAUGAAAUGCUUGUACAAAUUUAUUGAUUGCUGUUGUGGGGAAAUUGGUUCAUAAUUUGGCUUCAAAAGUUGUAAUUGAUUCUUAUCUUAACCUUCAUUUUUUUUCCAUAUGUACUGAAUAAGGGGAUAUA
This is a non-coding RNA of Benincasa hispida (wax gourd), 496 nucleotides long. The record is from RefSeq and is a predicted model, not a curated record. Lineage: Eukaryota; Viridiplantae; Streptophyta; Magnoliopsida; Cucurbitales; Cucurbitaceae.